Molecule: transfer RNA, 98 nt
Filed under: Candidatus Brocadiales bacterium
Lineage: Bacteria; Pseudomonadati; Planctomycetota; Candidatus Brocadiia; Candidatus Brocadiales
Description: tRNA-OTHER
Rfam family: Selenocysteine transfer RNA
Source: RNAcentral
GGGAGCUUAAAGGGUUCUGGUGCCCUCCCCGGCCUUAAAAGCCGGUUUUGCAUACCACAACGGGGCGGGGUGGGUUCGAUUCCCACACGCUCUCGCCA